UGGUGAUACCACAUUGAAGCACUGGUUCUCGCACGAUCACCAAGGUUAAGCAAUAACAAGCCUGGUCAGUACUUAGAUGGGUGACCGUUUGGGAAUACCAGGUAUUGCAAGC
Non-coding RNA from Acanthosepion pharaonis, 112 nucleotides. The record is from the annotation of a GenBank genome assembly. Lineage: Eukaryota; Metazoa; Mollusca; Cephalopoda; Sepiida; Sepiidae.